AUUGAACGCUGGCGGCAGGCCUAACACAUGCAAGUCGAGCGGAUGAAGGGAGCUUGCUCCUGGAUUCAGCGGCGGACGGGUGAGUAAUGCCUAGGAAUCUGCCUGGUAGUGGGGGAUAACGUCCGGAAACGGGCGCUAAUACCGCAUACGUCCUGAGGGAGAAAGUGGGGGAUCUUCGGACCUCACGCUAUCAGAUGAGCCUAGGUCGGAUUAGCUAGUUGGUGGGGUAAAGGCCUACCAAGGCGACGAUCCGUAACUGGUCUGAGAGGAUGAUCAGUCACACUGGAACUGAGACACGGUCCAGACUCCUACGGGAGGCAGCAGUGGGGAAUAUUGGACAAUGGGCGAAAGCCUGAUCCAGCCAUGCCGCGUGUGUGAAGAAGGUCUUCGGAUUGUAAAGCACUUUUAGUUGGGAGGAAGGGCAGUAAGUUAAUACCUUGCUGUUUUGACGUUACCAACAGAAUAAGCACCGGCUAACUUCGUG
This 484-nucleotide ribosomal RNA is filed under the name uncultured bacterium. Its description in RNAcentral is "partial 16S ribosomal RNA". It matches the Rfam family "Bacterial small subunit ribosomal RNA", at positions 30 to 507 of the family's 1533-position model. The record is from RNAcentral.